Molecule: ribosomal RNA, 255 nt
Filed under: uncultured bacterium
Lineage: Bacteria
Description: partial 16S ribosomal RNA
Rfam family: Bacterial small subunit ribosomal RNA
Source: RNAcentral
UACGUAGGGUGCAAGCGUUGUCCGGAAUUAUUGGGCGUAAAGAGCUCGUAGGCGGCUUGUCGCGUCGGCUGUGAAAACCUGGGGCUCAACCCCGGGCCUGCAGCCGAUACGGGCAAGCGUAGAAUUCGGUAGGGGAGACUGGAAGUUCCUGGUGUAGCGGUGAAAUGCGCAGAUAUCAGGAGGAACACCCGUGGCUAAGGCGGCUCUCUAGUACGGUACUGACGCUGAGACGCGAAAGCGUGGGGAGCGAACAGG